CUCAGCUCACUGCAACCUCUGCCUCCCGGGUGGAAGCAAUUCCCCGCGUCAGCCUCCUGAGUAGCUGGGACAGGCCGCUGGUUGUCCCUUGCUCCUGGAAGGUCACCAUAUUGAUGCCAAACUCAGUGUGGAUGCCCAAUUGGUAGAGUGCACUACAGCCCAGAACUCAUGGACUCAAGUCAGCCUCCCAAGUCCCUGGGACUACAGAUUCCUGAAUGAUCCGGCGGCAUGGCAGAGGUGGUGCCUACUGAUAUGGCUCCGAUGACUGGAGGAACACCAGGGUCCUUGGUCUUGCGCCAAUGUAGGUGAGGCUCAAAGGAAGGUGGAAGAUGUGGAAGAGUUUAGAAUGUGUGCCGUUCUCUUCAAGGGGGAAGGAGUAUGACUGUUAUGCCCAUAGAAGGGCUGGGAGAACAAGGGGCCCUCACCGUGUGGAAGGAAGCACUCUAAAACGAAGUGACACCCAGCAACUCUCUGUCCUCUCAAGAAUGUUCUCCAGGGAGAACAAGACUUGACUGAUUCUUCAGAAGAGUGCUGCACCCAUUUUACAAGCGGACAAGCCAAGUCC
RNAcentral lists this long non-coding RNA (565 nucleotides) under Homo sapiens (human). RNAcentral describes it as "HSALNT0277072". Lineage: Eukaryota; Metazoa; Chordata; Mammalia; Primates; Hominidae. The record is from RNAcentral.